AGAGUUUGAUCCUGGCUCAGGACGAACGCUGGCGGCGUGCCUAAUACAUGCAAGUCGAGCGAGCGGAACCAACAGAUUUACUUCGGUAAUGACGUUGGGAAAGCGAGCGGCGGAUGGGUGAGUAACACGUGGGGAACCUGCCCCUAAGUCUGGGAUACCAUUUGGAAACAGGUGCUAAUACCGGAUAAUAAAGCAGAUCGCAUGAUCAGCUUUUGAAAGGCGGCGUAAGUUGUCGCUAAGGGAUGGCCCCGCGGUGCAUUAGCUAGUUGGUAAGGUAACGGCUUACCAAGGCGACGAUGCAUAGCCGAGUUGAGAGACUGAUCGGCCACAUUGGGACUGAGACACGGCCCAAACUCCUACGGGAGGCAGCAGUAGGGAAUCUUCCACAAUGGACGCAAGUCUGAUGGAGCAACGCCGCGUGAGUGAAGAAGGUUUUCGGAUCGUAAAGCUCUGUUGUUGGUGAAGAAGGAUAGAGGUAGUAACUGGCCUUUAUUUGACGGUAAUCAACCAGAAAGUCACGGCUAACUACGUGCCAGCAGCCGCGGUAAUACGUAGGUGGCAAGCGUUGUCCGGAUUUAUUGGGCGUAAAGCGAGCGCAGGCGGAAAAAUAAGUCUAAUGUGAAAGCCCUCGGCUUAACCGAGGAACUGCAUCGGAAACUGUUUUUCUUGAGUGCAGAAGAGGAGAGUGGAACUCCAUGUGUAGCGGUGGAAUGCGUAGAUAUAUGGAAGAACACCAGUGGCGAAAGCGGCUCUCUGGUCUGCAACUGACGCUGAGCUCGAAAGCAUGGGUAGCGAACAGGAUUAGAUACCCUGGUAGUCCAUGCCGUAAACGAUGAGUGCUAAGUGUUGGGAGGUUUCCGCCUCUCAGUGCUGCAGCUAACGCAUUAAGCACUCCGCCUGGGGAGUACGACCGCAAGGUUGAAACUCAAAGGAAUUGACGG
RNAcentral lists this ribosomal RNA (941 nucleotides) under uncultured bacterium. RNAcentral describes it as "bacterial SSU rRNA". It matches the Rfam family "Bacterial small subunit ribosomal RNA", at positions 8 to 916 of the family's 1533-position model. The record is from RNAcentral.